CAGGACGAACGCUGGCGGCGUGCCUAAUACAUGCAAGUCGAACGGUCUUUCUAAUGGAAGCUUGCUUCCACUGAGAAGAUAGUGGCGAACGGGUGAGUAACAACUGGGUAACCUGCCCAUAAGAGGGGGAUAACAUCCGGAAACGGGUGCUAAUACCGCAUAGUUUCUUUGAUACGCAUGAUUGAGAAAGGAAAGACGGCCUUUGUGCUGUCGCUUAUGGAUGGACCCGCGGCGUAUUAGUUAGUUGGUGAGGUAACGGCUCACCAAGACGAUGAUACGUAGCCGACCUGAGAGGGUGAUCGGCCACAUUGGGACUGAGACACGGCCCAAACUCCUACGGGAGGCAGCAGUAGGGAAUCUUCCGCAAUGGACGAAAGUCUGACGGAGCAACGCCGCGUGAGUGAAAGAAGGUUUUCGGAUCGUAAAACUCUGUUGUCAGAGAAGAACAAGUUGGAGAGUAACUGCUCCAGCCUUGACGGUAUCUGACCAGAAAGCCACGGCUAACUACGUGCCAGCCGCGGC
This 522-nucleotide ribosomal RNA is filed under the name uncultured bacterium. RNAcentral's name for it is "bacterial SSU rRNA". It matches the Rfam family "Bacterial small subunit ribosomal RNA", at positions 25 to 518 of the family's 1533-position model. The record is from RNAcentral.